UGCCGAUGGGCGACGAGGCCGUGCCGACGGCUCAGCACGCCGUAUUCGCACAGGCGCUCGAGCCGUUCUAUUCGGCCGUCGGCGU
Molecule: transfer RNA, 85 nt
Filed under: Microbacterium nanhaiense
Lineage: Bacteria; Bacillati; Actinomycetota; Actinomycetes; Micrococcales; Microbacteriaceae
Description: tRNA-Ala
Source: RNAcentral